GCCGCAAUUAAUUCUUCUUCAACCCUCAAAUAAUCGAUAGAAACCCUAAAAUUAUGAAAAUCUCACACAAAAUAUGCCGCCUCCGCCUCUACGCUGUGAAUCGGUGAUUUCCAGCCACAACUACUUCGAUAAUUGGCGAUUUCCAGCCACAACUACUUCAAGAAUCGGCGAUCUGAAACCAAAAGUUAAUUCCCAUCAACGAUCGGUGAAUAAUCGCGAUUAUGAAGGGACGGCGACGGCGAAUCGAAAGGAAACCCUCGAAAAUCCAAUUUCACCGACGAUUAGAAGGGAUUUGCUUGGCGAAACGAAGGAUAUUUGUUGGCGAUUGUGAACGGAGUUUAGCUGCUUGUUUCUCCGACUACACCUAGUUUUGGUGAAAGUAAAUAAGGGGGUGAAGGCCCUGAGCCGGAAUCGUUUGCGAAUAUCGUGGAAUACUUAAACUUGAAGCAGAAGAGGGAUAUUAUGGAAAUGGCUUCGGUGCCCUAAUCAACUUCAAAUUGAACUACAUACCUCCGAGACUCGGGUAUUGGCUUGUAGCAUAUUUCAAUCCAGUAGCUUGUGGCCUACCUAUAGGAGGGUCUGAGACUGAUUGCAAGCACAUCGACAAAGUUGAUGUGAACUCUUGGUGUUUUGAACAUGAAUUCUGGUUUGGUUGAUGUAUAUUUGGUAGCUACUCGUACUGAAAAAUGGUGGUUUUAUUAUGAUGUAGACAAUGUUGGAGAUGUAAUUUGAAUGUCC
This is a non-coding RNA of Salvia hispanica, 738 nucleotides long. The record is from RefSeq and is a predicted model, not a curated record. Lineage: Eukaryota; Viridiplantae; Streptophyta; Magnoliopsida; Lamiales; Lamiaceae.